RNAcentral lists this long non-coding RNA (531 nucleotides) under Equus caballus (horse). Its description in RNAcentral is "lncRNA (ENSECAG00000058205.1)". Lineage: Eukaryota; Metazoa; Chordata; Mammalia; Perissodactyla; Equidae. The record is from RNAcentral.
AUUUAUUUAUUUAUUUUGAGGCAGAUUAGCCCUGAGCUAACAUCUGCUGCCAAUCCUCCUCUUUUUGCUGAGGAAGACUGGCCCUGAGCUAACAUCUGUGCCCAUCUUCCUCCACUUUAUAUGUUGGACGCCUACCACAGCACGGCUUGAUGAGCUGUGCCAUGUGCGAACCCUGGAUCCGAGCUGGCGAACCGUGGGCCACCAAAGGAGAAUGUCUGUGCUUAACUGCUGUGCCACCAGGCUGCCCGGUUGUGAACAUUUUUGUAUGAGAGUCUUGCGGUCAGAUGCAUUCUUUUUUCUUGGGUUUCCCCUAGGAGUGCAGCCUUUCAGGACCCUAACCCGAAACAGGAAGGUGGCUCUCACCUUUGGGGACAUUUGGACUCCAGUUUUGUCUCACUUGCCCCACACAGCCUAUUUUCUGCCACCAACUCCGGGUCAGCAAAUGAGCCCAGGGUAAAAGCAGUCCUGCUGCUGUGUCGCCGCUCUGCUCUCCUGUGCUUUCGUGCUCCCACACCAAUAAUUCCUCACUGU